This 442-nucleotide ribosomal RNA is filed under the name uncultured bacterium. RNAcentral describes it as "partial 16S ribosomal RNA". It matches the Rfam family "Bacterial small subunit ribosomal RNA", at positions 338 to 795 of the family's 1533-position model. The record is from RNAcentral.
CCUACGGGAGGCAGCAGUGGGGAAUAUUGGUCAAUGGGCGCAAGCCUGACCCAGCAACGCCGCGUGAAGGAAGACGGCUUUCGGGUUUUAAACUUCUUUUUACAGGGGAGAGCAGAAGACGGUACCUGUCGAAUAAGCCACUGCUAACUACGUGCCAGCAGCCGCAGUAAUACGUAGGUGGCGAGAUUUGUCCGGAUUUACUGGGGGUAAAGGGCGUUUUGCCGGGCUGACAAGUCAGAUGUGAAAUCCGGGGGCUCAACCCCCGAGCUGCAUUUGAAACUGUUGGUCUUGAGUAUCGGAGAGGCAGGCGGAAUUCGUAGUGUAGCGGUGAAAUGCGUAGAUAUUAGGAGGAACACCAGUGGCGAAGGCGGCCUGCUGGACGACAACUGACGGUGAGGCGCGAAAGCGUGGGGAGCAAACAGGAUUAGAUACCCUGGUAGUC